Molecule: long non-coding RNA, 1331 nt
Filed under: Ananas comosus (pineapple)
Lineage: Eukaryota; Viridiplantae; Streptophyta; Magnoliopsida; Poales; Bromeliaceae
Description: long non-coding RNA (ACOM_LNC030843)
Source: RNAcentral
AUGGUAUUGGAGACUAAAAUAAAUUUAAAUAUAUAGUGGAUAAAUGUUAAAAUAGGGUAAACUUUUAAAUAUCACCGUAGGAUUUCCACUACAACAAAAACGGUUUAUAGCGACACUUUUAAAUAUAGGUAUAUGUCAAAAAAGUGCUGCUAGCUAAAAUUACUGACACUUUUAAAAAGUGUUGCUAUAUGUGGGGUCGCUAGAUAUAUAAUGACAGUUAAAGAGUGUCGCUAUAACCUAAAAUAGUAUUGCUAAUUUACCAACACUUAUUUAAGCAUUUAGCAACCGCCGAAACUCUAUCUCGUUGGCUGCGUUGGCGGAGGAUGACGACAGUAAAGGCUCUUCGUCUAGAAUUUCAGUGGAUUGAGUGAAGAGAGAAAAAAAGAUGGUAAUUGAUUUUUCUUUUUUUUUUCUUUUCUGUUUUUAAUCGGGCCAAAUGGACUAGGUGUGAUGGGUUGAGUAAGUAAUCUUUUAUUUUUGGUUGGAUUGGACUAUAUAUUUAGGCAUUAGUAGAUGUGUUUUUAAGUUUUAGCAUAAAUGGGACACUUACUCAAAAGUGUCCCAAACAUGUGUCCCUAUAACCUAAUUCUGUUGUAGUGUUCGUACUUUUUUAUUUUAAUAUUUUGUGAUUUAAAAUAUAUUAAUUUAAUAUUUUAUGAUUUAUUUUUUUCUUUUCGUCGGUUCAUCCGCUAAUUUUUUAUUAAAUUAUUUACAAAAAAACUUCAGAUAUCUCACUUACAGUUUAUCGAAUAUUCAUUUUAGUACCCUUUAGUUUUAUCUUUUUACUGAUUUAACGAAAAAAAUUAAUGAAGGAGAUAAUAAAAAGAGAAAAAUAAAACCACAUGGUAUAAAAAUGAUACACUUUAAACCAUAGGGUACUAAAGUGAGAAAAUGUGAAAUUAUAUAAGUGGUAUUUGAAGUUUUUUUUAAAAAUUAUGCGGGUAAAAAUACAUGGAGACCGUUGUAUCGCAUUUCGAAUAUGCCUAUCUGAAUUUUCAUUUUUUUUGGAUUUGCACCUUAUGUUUAUUUAAAUUAUAGACCAUUAUGAGUUCUCUAUCCCAUCUUUAAAAUUUAAAAUUUACUAUCCAAAUUUUUAAUUUAUUUUUGAGUUAGUCUAAAAUUUUAAUAUGUCAUUUAUCUUUACAGAUUUAGUUACUGUAUUUUAUAUAACUCUGGCAACUCUAAACUUAUUAAAAUAAAUAAAUACUUAAAUUUUAAUGUCAAAAUAUUAUUGAUUGAUUCAAAUCAAACAAAUUGAAAAAUUGUAUAGCAAAAUCAAAAUUUUGAAAGAUUAGUUAAACGAUUCAAACUUAGUUUAGAUAAAUUCUAUA